AAUCAACGCUGGCGGCGUGCCUCAGACAUGCAAGUCGAACGCGAAAGUCCCUUCGGGGACGAAGUAGAGUGGCGCACGGGUGAGUAACACGUAGGUAAUCUACCUUCGGAUGGGGAAGUAACAACCGGAAACGGUUGCUAAUACCGCAUAAUGCAGCGGCACCUAAUGGUGACAGUUGUUAAAGCGGGGGAUCGAAAGACCGUCGCGUCUGAAGAGGAGCCUGCGGCGGAUUAGCAGUUGGUAAGGUAACGGCUUACCAAGGCGACGAUCCGUAGCCGGCCUGAGAGGGGCGGUCGGCCACACUGACACUGACAUACGGGUCAGACUCCUACGGGAGGCAGCAGUCGGG
Molecule: ribosomal RNA, 349 nt
Filed under: uncultured bacterium
Lineage: Bacteria
Description: bacterial SSU rRNA
Rfam family: Bacterial small subunit ribosomal RNA
Source: RNAcentral